Molecule: non-coding RNA, 22 nt
Filed under: Arabidopsis thaliana (thale cress)
Lineage: Eukaryota; Viridiplantae; Streptophyta; Magnoliopsida; Brassicales; Brassicaceae
Source: RNAcentral
CCUUUGCAUUGCAAGUGCCUUC